This is a long non-coding RNA of Herpailurus yagouaroundi (jaguarundi), 955 nucleotides long. RefSeq lists it as uncharacterized. The record is from RefSeq and is a predicted model, not a curated record. The transcript has 4 exons. NCBI's taxonomy places the organism in Eukaryota, Metazoa, Chordata, Mammalia, Carnivora, Felidae.
CCCCGCCCCCAACCAAGUCACAGGAGAAUUACAACAUCUCAAGAAAUCUUAUACCUAUAUAAGGAACCUUGAAAAAUCUUAAAAGAAUCAUAAAAUAAGAAAAUUUAAGAUCAAAAGGUCAGGGUCCAAAUUUACUUGUUAAUGUUUUCCCUAUAUGAGGUGAUGAUACAUAAGAUGGUCUGAAAUUACCUCAACGAUGAUUACUAUGCAUAUAUUUAAAUUUCUAAAUUUUUGAUUUAUGGCAAAAUUUUGUAAAUGACAGGCUCAUAUUACAACAUAGAAAAUUCUGAUCUUUAUGUUAAAAUAAUAUGUUUUAUGUGCUAUAGAUUGACAUCAUCCUACUUGAAAUGCAUGUCACAAUUGUACACUCAAAUACCCAAAGCAGAUUGGUUAACAUGCAACCUUUGUUUAAUUACUGAUCAAGUAAAGUUUUGACUUAUAACCUGUGACUUUCCUUCCUUUGGUUUGCAUGUUCCAUACAUAUUCAAAGAAACUCAUGGUGAUGAAAGUACUCAACAAUAGACAAAGUAUGGCAUAAAGCCAUUAAAAUACCAGGAAAAGAUAAUCUCCAGCAUUAACAUCAGACAACUGGCAGUUCAAAAAACAACGCGGAUGAUGAACAAAGCAUUACUUAUAAACCGAUGUAAUGCGAAUAAGGACAGAUCCACUGACACCAUCAGGACAACACGUUUCUAACCCUUGCGCCAGGAAGAAACCUGACAGUUGAAGACUGACAAGGCUCCAUGCAAGUGGCAGAGCUAUCUACUGGAAGAAAUGUGAAGCCUGGAUUAUAUUCUUCAAUCUUCCAUUUUGCAAAAAGGGGGCAACAAUGACACAUAUAGCCUAUUUUAUAUUUGAGCAUGUUAGAAGAAUUAAUCUAGAAUGUCUUGAAAAUAUGUUAAAGCCCUCUGAUACUAGAAUUCCAUGAAAAUAAAGUGUUGUUCAUAUAAUUUAA